RNAcentral lists this ribosomal RNA (433 nucleotides) under uncultured bacterium. RNAcentral's name for it is "partial 16S ribosomal RNA". It matches the Rfam family "Bacterial small subunit ribosomal RNA", at positions 28 to 507 of the family's 1533-position model. The record is from RNAcentral.
GACGAACGCUGGUGGCAUGCCUAACACAUGCAAGUCGAACGAGACCUUCGGGUCUAGUGGCGCACGGGUGCGUACCGCGUGGGAACCUGCCCUUAGGUUCGGAAUAACUCCCCGAAAGGGGUGCUAAUACCGGAUAAUGUCUUCGGACCAAAGAUUUAUCGCCUUUGGAUGGGCCGGCGUUGGAUUAGCUAGUUGGUAGGGUAAAAGCCUACCAAGGCGACGAUCCAUAGCUGGUCUGAGAGGAUGAUCAGCCACACUGGGACUGAGACACGGCCCAGACUCCUACGGGAGGCAGCAGUGGGGAAUAUUGGACAAUGGGCGAAAGCCUGAUCCAGCAAUGCCGCGUGAGUGAUGAAGGCCUUAGGGUUGUAAAGCUCUUUUACCCGGGAUGAUAAUGACAGUACCGGGAGAAUAAGCUCCGGCUAACUCCGUG